GAUGAACGCUGGCGGCGUGCCUAAUACAUGCAAGUCGAGCGAACAGACGAGGAGCUUGCUCCUCUGACGUUAGCGGCGGACGGGUGAGUAACACGUGGAUAACCUACCUAUAAGACUGGGAUAACUUCGGGAAACCGGAGCUAAUACCGGAUAAUAUAUUGAACCGCAUGGUUCAAUAGUGAAAGACGGUUUUGCUGUCACUUAUAGAUGGAUCCGCGCCGCAUUAGCUAGUUGGUAAGGUAACGGCUUACCAAGGCGACGAUGCGUAGCCGACCUGAGAGGGGGAUCGGCCACACUGGAACUGAGACACGGUCCAGACUCCUACGGGAGGCAGCAGUAGGGAAUCUUCCGCAAUGGGCGAAAGCCUGACGGAGCAACGCCGCGUGAGUGAUGAAGGUCUUCGGAUCGUAAAACUCUGUUAUUAGGGAAGAACAAAUGUGUAAGUAACUAUGCACGUCGUGACGGUACCUAAUCAGAAAGCCACGGCUAACUACGUG
RNAcentral lists this ribosomal RNA (497 nucleotides) under uncultured bacterium. Its description in RNAcentral is "partial 16S ribosomal RNA". It matches the Rfam family "Bacterial small subunit ribosomal RNA", at positions 28 to 507 of the family's 1533-position model. The record is from RNAcentral.